UACGUAGGUGGCAAGCGUUAUCCGGAAUUAUUGGGCGUAAAGCGCGCGCAGGCGGUUUCUUAAGUCUGAUGUGAAAGCCCACGGCUCAACCGUGGAGGGUCAUUGGAAACUGGGGAACUUGAGUGCAGAAGAGAAAAGCGGAAUUCCACGUGUAGCGGUGAAAUGCGUAGAGAUCCGGAGGAACCCCAGAGGCGAAGGCGGCGCUCUGGCUCGCAACUGACGCUCAGACACGACAGCAUGGGGAGCGAACGGG
RNAcentral lists this ribosomal RNA (253 nucleotides) under uncultured bacterium. RNAcentral describes it as "partial 16S ribosomal RNA". It matches the Rfam family "Bacterial small subunit ribosomal RNA", at positions 524 to 776 of the family's 1533-position model. The record is from RNAcentral.